This is a long non-coding RNA of Vicia villosa (hairy vetch), 1262 nucleotides long. RefSeq lists it as uncharacterized. The record is from RefSeq and is a predicted model, not a curated record. The transcript is spliced from 2 exons. NCBI's taxonomy places the organism in Eukaryota, Viridiplantae, Streptophyta, Magnoliopsida, Fabales, Fabaceae.
GAAAUUGUGACCAUUGGAAUUUUCUCCUCUUUUCUUCAACGUGAACGGCGGCGGUGAUUCUCCUCUCCGGCGGAACCUCUCCGGUGCUUCUCUCCUCUGAUUUCUCUUCCAAAAGCUCUCGGUUCAUACAUCUCUCGUCUCAAUCUCGAACUCUCUCGCCUCUCGCGCUCAUCUCUUCCUCGGAUUCCCUCGGUCAGAGCUACUCCGACGGCGCUUCAACGAUCUCACUUGAAACUUAGAUCCGAUGUUGCCGUGAAUUCCUAUCGAGAUGAUGUUCUGUGUCGAAGCUUGUGAAGAGUAACGUGCAGAUGUUCUUAUUGUUCCCGAUGCGAAGAUGAAGGUGAAGGUAGAGAAGUGACGAAGGUGAUGAUGAACGGUGAUUGGUGAUGAUUAUGAUGUUGCGAUGUGCUGCAGAGAUGGGCUCAGUCUUGCGGUGAGAAGAUGAAGAUGUGAGAUGAAGAAGAAUCUUCCGUGGUGAAUCGGUGGUGAGAUUGAAGAAGAGCGGAUGAAGGUUCGAUCCAUAGCUCAAGAAACAGAGGUUCUGAAUUGGUUUUUGUUCUGUUGAAGAUUGAAGAUUAUGAAUGGUGAAGAUUGAUGAGAGAUGAGAAUUGGUGAAAAAGUUUGUUAGAAGUUUGUUACAGAAUCGGUUCUGAUUUUUUUGUCCAAUUUUCUGUUACGUUUUUCUGUGAACUUUGGUGUGGUCAAGAAAAUGAAGAAGGUUUUUGCUUCAAGGUCCUUGAAUCCGAGAGAUUGGUGAAGAGAUAAUGAAAGUUUAUUACGAUUCCAUCUUGAAUUCUGUUAUCGAUCUCUCCCUUCUUUUUUGUUAUCGAUUUUUCUUCUUCUCAAAUUCUGUUAGCACUGAAUUCCCUUCCCAAUGUUGCUGAACCGGUUUUUGUCCAUGAGUGCAGGGCUGAGGUUCGGUUUAUUGUCGGUCUUUUUUCUGGAUUUGCGUAGCAGCUUAAUUAUGGUUGGACCAGUUUCGGAUUGCUACCGGUUUUCAUUUGGUUUAGAGUGAAGUUGCAGGUGGGAACCGAGAGGAACUCCUAUGGAAUUCAUUAUUUUGAAUGGAUUGUUGCUUUGAUGAGAGUAAUGGUUUUGAACCGGUUUUAUCAGAUUUUGUGGCAUGAAGUCGUAGGUUAAGGCUUAGCAUAAACUUUUCAAUCUUUUCUUGUAUGGCUUUUUUGUAAUGGGCUUCGAAUUGUAAUGGAUAUUUGAAUUUGUGAAUGAACUUGAAUGAUAUUUCUUUUGUAUUUUUGAAUGAA